This 88-nucleotide transfer RNA is filed under the name Pantoea agglomerans. RNAcentral describes it as "tRNA-Ser". It matches the Rfam family "tRNA". Rfam says of the family: Transfer RNA (tRNA) molecules are approximately 80 nucleotides in length. Their secondary structure includes four short double-helical elements and three loops (D, anti-codon, and T loops). Further hydrogen bonds mediate the characteristic L-shaped molecular structure. tRNAs have two regions of fundamental functional importance: the anti-codon, which is responsible for specific mRNA codon recognition, and the 3' end, to which the tRNAs corresponding amino acid is attached (by aminoacyl-tRNA synthetases). tRNAs cope with the degeneracy of the genetic code in two manners: having more than one tRNA (with a specific anti-codon) for a particular amino acid; and 'wobble' base-pairing, i.e. permitting non-standard base-pairing at the 3rd anti-codon position. Lineage: Bacteria; Pseudomonadati; Pseudomonadota; Gammaproteobacteria; Enterobacterales; Erwiniaceae. The record is from RNAcentral. RNAcentral also lists the same sequence under 57 other names.
GGAGGGAUGGCCGAGCGGCUUAAGGCAGCGGUCUUGAAAACCGCCGAUGGGAAACCAUCCGAGAGUUCGAAUCUCUCUUCCUCCGCCA